GCUUACCAUGCAGUCGAACGAUGAUUAUCUAGCUUGCUAGAUAUGAUUAGUGGCGGACGGGUGAGUAACAUUUAGGAAUCUGCCUAGUAGUGGGGGAUAGCUCGGGGAAACUCGAAUUAAUACCGCAUACGACCUACGGGUGAAAGGGGGCGCAAGCUCUUGCUAUUAGAUGAGCCUAAAUCAGAUUAGCUAGUUGGUGGGGUAAAGGCCCACCAAGGCGACGAUCUGUAACUGGUCUGAGAGGAUGAUCAGUCACACCGGAACUGAGACACGGUCCGGACUCCUACGGGAGGCAGCAGUGGGGAAUAUUGGACAAUGGGGGCAACCCUGAUCCAGCCAUGCCGCGUGUGUGAAGAAGGCCUUUUGGUUGUAAAGCACUUUAAGCAGGGAGGAGAGGCUAAUGGUUAAUACCCAUUAGAUUAGACGUUACCUGCAGAAUAAGCACCGGCUAACUCUGUGCCAGCAGCCGCGGUAAUACAGAGGGUGCGAGCGUUAAUCGGAAUUACUGGGCGUAAAGCGAGUGUAGGUGGCUCAUUAAGUCACAUGUGAAAUCCCCGGGCUUAACCUGGGAACUGCAUGUGAUACUGGUGGUGCUAGAAUAUGUGAGAGGGAAGUAGAAUUCCAGGUGUAGCGGUGAAAUGCGUAGAGAUCUGGAGGAAUACCGAUGGCGAAGGCAGCUUCCUGGCAUAAUAUUGACACUGAGAUUCGAAAGCGUGGGUAGCAAACAGGAUUAGAUACCCUGGUAGUCCACGCCGUAAACGAUGUCUACUAGCCGUUGGGGUCCUUGAGACUUUAGUGGCGCAGUUAACGCGAUAAGUAGACCGCCUGGGGAGUACGGCCGCAAGGUUAAAACUCAAAUGAAUUGACGGGGGCCCGCACAAGCGGUGGAGCAUGUGGUUUAAUUCGAUGCAACGCGAAGAACCUUACCUGGUCUUGACAUAGUGAGAAUCUUGUAGAGAUGAGGGAGUGCCUUCGGGAAUUCACAUACAGGUGCUGCAUGGCUGUCGUCAGCUCGUGUCGUGAGAUGUUGGGUUAAGUCCCGCAACGAGCGCAACCCUUUUCCUUAUUUGCCAGCGGGUUAAGCCGGGAACUUUAAGGAUACUGCCAGUGACAAACUGGAGGAAGGCGGGGACGACGUCAAGUCAUCAUGGCCCUUACGACCAGGGCUACACACGUGCUACAAUGGUAGGUACAGAGGGUUGCUACACAGCGAUGUGAUGCUAAUCUCAAAAAGCCUAUCGUAGUCCGGAUUGGAGUCUGCAACUCGACUCCAUGAAGUCGGAAUCGCUAGUAAUCGCAGAUCAGAAUGCUGCGGUGAAUACGUUCCCGGGCCUUGUACACACCGCCCGUCACACCAUGGGAGUCUAUUGCACCAGAAGUAGGUAGCCUAACGCAAGAGGGCGCUACC
This 1408-nucleotide ribosomal RNA is filed under the name Moraxella sp. 19.2 KSS. RNAcentral describes it as "bacterial SSU rRNA". It matches the Rfam family "Bacterial small subunit ribosomal RNA". Lineage: Bacteria; Pseudomonadati; Pseudomonadota; Gammaproteobacteria; Moraxellales; Moraxellaceae. The record is from RNAcentral.